This 544-nucleotide ribosomal RNA is filed under the name uncultured soil bacterium. RNAcentral's name for it is "bacterial SSU rRNA". It matches the Rfam family "Bacterial small subunit ribosomal RNA", at positions 81 to 621 of the family's 1533-position model. The record is from RNAcentral.
AACCCUGGCGGCGAGCGGCGAACGGGUGAGUAAUACAUCGGAACGUGUCCAGUUGUGGGGGAUAACCAGUCGAAAGACUGGCUAAUACCGCAUACGAUCUACGGAUGAAAGCGGGGGAUCGCAAGACCUCGCGCUAUUGGAGCGGCCGAUGUCCGAUUAGCUAGUUGGCGGGGUAACGGCCCACCAAGGCGACGAUCGGUAGCUGGUCUGAGAGGAUGAUCAGCCACACUGGAACUGAGACACGGUCCAGACUCCUACGGGAGGCAGCAGUGGGGAAUUUUGGACAAUGGGGGCAACCCUGAUCCAGCCAUGCCGCGUGAGUGAAGAAGGCCUUCGGGUUGUAAAGCUCUUUCGGCGGGGACGAAACGGUUCGUGCCAACACCACGGACUAAUGACGGUACUCGCAGAAGAAGCACCGGCUAACUACGUGCCAGCAGCCGCGGUAAUACGUAGGGUGCAGGCGUUAAUCGGAAUUACUGGGCGUAAAGCGUGCGCAGGCGGCUCCUUAAGUCAGAUGUGAAAGCCCCGGGCUUAACCUGGGAAC